AUUGAACGCUGGCGGCAGGCCUAACACAUGCAAGUCGAGCGGAUGAAGGGAGCUUGCUCCUGGAUUCAGCGGCGGACGGGUGAGUAAUGCCUAGGAAUCUGCCUGGUAGUGGGGGAUAACGUCCGGAAACGGGCGCUAAUACCGCAUACGUCCUGAGGGAGAAAGUGGGGGAUCUUCGGACCUCACGCUAUCAGAUGAGCCUAGGUCGGAUUAGCUAGUUGGUGGGGUAAAGGCCUACCAAGGCGACGAUCCGUAACUGGUCUGAGAGGAUGAUCAGUCACCCUGGAACUGAGACACGGUCCAGAGUCCUAAGGGAGGCAGCAGUGGGGUACAUUGGACAAUGGGCGAAAGCCUGAUCCAGCCAUGCCGCGUGUGUGAAGAAGGUCUUCGGAUUGUAAAGAACUUUAAGUUGGGAGGAAGGGCAGUAAGUUAAUACCUUGCUGUUUUGACGUUAACAACAGAAUAAGCACCGGCUAACUUCGUG
This 484-nucleotide ribosomal RNA is filed under the name uncultured bacterium. RNAcentral's name for it is "partial 16S ribosomal RNA". It matches the Rfam family "Bacterial small subunit ribosomal RNA", at positions 30 to 507 of the family's 1533-position model. The record is from RNAcentral.